This 485-nucleotide ribosomal RNA is filed under the name uncultured bacterium. RNAcentral's name for it is "partial 16S ribosomal RNA". It matches the Rfam family "Bacterial small subunit ribosomal RNA", at positions 28 to 523 of the family's 1533-position model. The record is from RNAcentral.
GACGAACGCUGGCGGCGUGCUUAACACAUGCAAGUCGAACGGAAAGGCUCCUUCGGGGGUACUCGAGUGGCGAACGGGUGAGUAACACGUGGGUGAUCUGCCCUGCACUCUGGGAUAAGCCUGGGAAACUGGGUCUAAUACCGGAUAGGACCAUGGCAUGCAUGUGCUGUGGUGGAGAGUGUUAUGCGGUGUGGGAUGGGCCCGCGGCCUAUCAGCUUGUGGGUGGGGUGGUGGCCUACCAAGGCUGCGACGGGUAGACGGCCUGAGGGGGUGUCCGGCCACACUGGGACUGAGAUACGGCCCAGACUCCUACGGGAGGCAGCAGUGGGGAAUAUUGCACAAUGGGCGCAAGCCUGAUGCAGCGACGCCGCGUGGGGGAUGACGGCCUUCGGGUUGUAAACCUCUUUCACCAUCGACGAAGCCUUUCGGGGUGACGGUAGGUGGAGAAGAAGCACCGGCCAACUACGUGCCAGCCGCCGCGGUAA